Molecule: ribosomal RNA, 417 nt
Filed under: uncultured bacterium
Lineage: Bacteria
Description: bacterial SSU rRNA
Rfam family: Bacterial small subunit ribosomal RNA
Source: RNAcentral
UGGGGAAUAUUGGGCAAUGGGCGCAAGCCUGACCCAGCAACGCCGCGUGAAGGAAGAAGGCCCUCGGGUUGUAAACUUCUUUUAUCAGGGACGAAGAAGUGACGGUACCUGAUGAAUAAGCCACGGCUAACUACGUGCCAGCAGCCGCGGUAAUACGUAGGUGGCAAGCGUUAUCCGGAUUUACUGGGUGUAAAGGGCGUGUAGGCGGGAUCGCAAGUCAGAUGUGAAAUUCCAGGGCUUAACCCUGGACCUGCAUUUGAAACUGUGAUUCUUGAGUGAUGGAGAGGCAGGCGGAAUUCCGUGUGUAGCGGUGAAAUGCGUAGAUAUACGGAGGAACACCAGUGGCGAAGGCGGCCUGCUGGACAUUAACUGACGCUGAGGCGCGAAAGCGUGGGGAGCAAACAGGAUUAGAUACCC